CAUAUUAUUGUCUAGUUUUUUUUUUAGUCAGAACAGCUGCAUUCUAUUUGCAUAAUAAUUCACAUNGAAUUCUUUGCAAGGAAGAUAUUAAUUUAUAUAAAUACAUAAAUUUUUCUUGGCAGUCGAUGAACAAUAAUAUUUUCCAUCUUNGUUCAGAAAACCUGGUAAAAGAUUUUGUACAAGAACAGAGUUUCCUAAUAUAUUGUAUUUGCCAUUUAUUUUCUUAAUGUGUGAUAACUAGGAUGCAUUCCUUCUGCUAAUCUUCUGAUAGAAUAUAACUGCAUAUGGUUUCUUCCCAAUGUACGAAACCAAAUUGAAGACAGUCAACUGAAAAACCAGAAAAAUAUAUUCAUAUGAAAAUUUUUGAAGUGAAAACUUCUUUAGAAUGGGUGUAAUUUGGAAAAAUGUAACGGUAAUUGUAAAAAAUGAAGCGGUUGGCCGCUUUGUAAUGGAACGGUAGGAGGCUAUGAAACGGAAGCGAUACUAAAUAAGAGGAGAAAAAGAGAUAAACAUAUAGGAUUGAGCCUGCGAGAGAAUGAGACAGAAUAUUGCUCUACAGUUUUUCCUAUUCUCGGUCUUUGAUUCGUGGUCCUCACUCCUGGCUACUAAGCUGCGUAUGUGUGUGUGUGUGUUUAUGUCAAAACAAAGGCAAGCUUUGUUCGUGGCGUAAUGUUGCUACGUCAGAGCGUUGCUAUGGUAACCAUCAAUGGUUUUUCACAUGCAAAUAAACCGUACUUUGCCCGUUACAAAAAUCUGUGUGUGUGUGUGACGAAGGAACAAGAGCAAGCUUGUUGUAUGACGUCACGUUGCUACGUGGAGCGUUACGAGUGAGCGAAAACAAAGCAAGCUGAUUGCCGGGCAAGUUCUUGUUUACAAGAAAGAGAGAGAGAGAGAGAGAGAGAGAAAGGGAGAACGAUAUGUGCGAUAAAGAAGUGUGAUAAAGCGAUAGUAUUUACUUGAAUUAGAGCGAUAUUAAACGACCGAUUUUGAGAGUGAAUAAGCGUGAAAGUGUGCAGUGAGUGACGAUACAAUACGAGCAGUUUAGCGUUUUAGGUUAAUAGCGAUUCGUUACGUGCGGUUUAGUGUCGAAGAGUUUUCAAGAAGCAGCGGAAGGAGUUUAUCUAAUUAUUGCGUGUGAAUUGUUUUAAACGGAUUGUAAUUUAUUAACUUGUUAAAUAAAAUGCGUUUGUUUUCUAUUUUUUUCGAGUGGUAGCGGCUACGCAAGGAAUUCAGAUAUCCUUAGCCGGAUACGUAAUAAAUGUUUUCCCUACACUGUUAUCUGAAUACACCUAGUAUAAUAUCGGGAAACAGUCUUCCUUUAAAUUUAACUUUAUACUGAGACAUUGUUUUCUAUGCAAAUACUUUUAUACUAUGUUUUAUGUAUGAAUUUCUGAGUGUGGAACAAGCAUAUAUAGGUGGGUGUUUGCGUGAAAGAAAGAGAGAAAGAAUGAUUGCUUUAUUAGAAUGUGUGCGUAGCGUAAGGACCGUAUGGUGCGUGUGUAUGUGUGGGAAAGAAAGAAAGAGAUAAGGAAUGGUUGCUUUGUCAGGAUGCGUGAGUCUAGCGUGAGGAUGACGGAACGAGAGGCGACCGUUCAUUGUUUGNCNUACAGCUACUGUUGUGUUUGUUAUGUGUAUNCGUGUGUGGCGAAGAACAAACAUAAGCUUAUUGUAUGACGCAUAAUAGCCGCGGUUGGGAGUAGAAGCACCCGGUGUGCAUUGUGCAUGUGUGCGUGUGUAGCGAAACAAGCGCAAGUUUGUUGUAUGACGUCAUGAUGGCUGAGGGUGGAGUAGAAGCAUCCGGCGUGUGUGUGUGUUGUGCGUACGUUUGGAAAAGGAAGAAAGAGAUAAGAUAUGGAAAGUAUCGGAUGUAUGCUUAAAAGAAAGAAAAGCGUGUAAGGUUCUAGGUUGGGUGAGUUGUGUGUGAGUAUACGUGUGUAAGACUGAUGAGCAACGGAUGGAAGGAAAGAACAUUCGAGAAAAAGCGUUUUGGAAAAUUCCAGAAGGAACUGCGUUACUAAGCGUCGAAGUCCUGUUAUGAGGAGAAGAAGGGGUAGACGCAAAUAAAAGAAGGUCGAAGGAAGGACAAGGGAGCGAGUUUGCUAGUUUGAUUAGUGAGAGUUAGAAUAGAAGGUGAUAGCGAAAGCGAGUUUUCAGUUAGGAUAGAGGGUAAUAGUAAGAGAGGAUAUAGAAGGAGGAUGGUAUAUAUAUAUAUAUAUAUAUUAUAUUGAGGAAGUAGAAACAUUUGAUGUGUUAUAAUUGUGUGAGUGCGUGAGUGUGUCACAAAGCACUUGACAAAGGAAAGCUCGGCGCGUCGUAGAAUGUUGCUUACAUCAGAGCAAGGUUCCGCGCGUUGCAAGAUGUUAUCAGCUUGUUAAAGUUCAAGCUCGGUGCGUGACAGGAUGUCGUUUACGUCAGAGCGUUGCUAAGCAGCUCAUACAAAGGCAAGCUCGGCACAGCGUUGCUAAGCAGCGAAAACGUAUGCAAGCUCGGCGUAUAAGGGGAGAGAGCGCGAGCACGUGUGUGUGAGAGAAAGAGUGAUAGAGCAAUACGACAAUUUAACUCUAAAAGUCAUCACUGCGCAGGUGUUAUAAAAAAUUACAUGAGAAUACAAAAAAUACUACAAUCAGAACGUUUUAAGCUUAAAUUCUCUAAGAAAUAUUAUAGUCGUUUCACACAUGCAAGACAUUUGAAAAGUUAUCUAAGCAACAUUCAAUAAAANAAUUUUAACAGAGGACUACCCGCCAGUCUGAAGGUGAAUUUUGAAGAGGAAGAUACAUACAUCAAUA
This 2786-nucleotide long non-coding RNA is filed under the name Polistes dominula (European paper wasp). RNAcentral describes it as "uncharacterized LOC107073660". The record is from RNAcentral. Lineage: Eukaryota; Metazoa; Arthropoda; Insecta; Hymenoptera; Vespidae.